GUGGGGAAUCUUGCGCAAUGGGCGAAAGCCUGACGCAGCCAUGCCGCGUGAAUGAUGAAGGUCUUAGGAUUGUAAAAUUCUUUCACCGGGGACGAUAAUGACGGUACCCGGAGAAGAAGCUCCGGCUAACUUCGUGCCAGCAGCCGCGGUAAUACGAAGGGGGCUAGCGUUGCUCGGAAUUACUGGGCGUAAAGGGCGCGUAGGCGGACAGCUUAGUCAGAGGUGAAAGCCCAGGGCUCAACCUUGGAAUUGCCUUUGAUACUGGCUGUCUUGAGUUUGGGAGAGGUGAGUGGAACUCCGAGUGUAGAGGUGAAAUUCGUAGAUAUUCGGAAGAACACCAGUGGCGAAGGCGACUCACUGGCCCAAUACUGACGCUGAGGCGCGAAAGCGUGGGGGGCAAACAGGAUUAGAUACCCCGGUAGUCC
Molecule: ribosomal RNA, 425 nt
Filed under: uncultured bacterium
Lineage: Bacteria
Description: partial 16S ribosomal RNA
Rfam family: Bacterial small subunit ribosomal RNA
Source: RNAcentral